Corvus hawaiiensis (hawaiian crow) is the source of this 2871-nucleotide long non-coding RNA. RefSeq lists it as uncharacterized. The record is from RefSeq and is a predicted model, not a curated record. Lineage: Eukaryota; Metazoa; Chordata; Aves; Passeriformes; Corvidae. The transcript has 2 exons.
CUUUUGCAAAAAUUGGAAAUUUUAAUAAAGGAUUAUUAUUUUUCAGCAAGCACCUGCAGCUUUGUACCUCUCCAGACUAGUAUUAGUGAUGUAGAAAACUUUCUUGGAAUACACAAGAUAUAAUUACAAUAGAAACCUUUCUACCAAAGCCACAGGUUUAUUCUUAACUGGUGUUCAGGGGGUCUUCACUGUAUCUCCAGUAGAUCCUUGAGAAUUAAAUAGUUUAACGAAUGUAAUGAGCAAACCUGAAAGAAGUACACGUAAAGCAGAAUAUGGACUUGGAUAUUACCUCUCCAAAUUUGCAAAUAACAUAAGUACGGUAUUAAAAGGGAGUGAGAAAUUGCCAAAAAUAAAUGUCUUCAAGUAAUAAGUGCCCCGGAUGGUAUUUUGGCAAAGCAAAGAUUAAAAAAAAUUGAUCUUUUCAUCAUUCUCAUGUAAACUUGCUCAUCUUUGUAAGUCAUGUUUGUAGCUCUCAGGGGUGUCAAACCUAAAGCAGACAAGCCCAGCUGGUGGAAGCCUGGGAGUGAAAUGAUGAAUUUUUUAGCAGAUCUGAGUUUAUUUUUAGGCUUUAUAGAAUUAUGUUUCAUUUCCCUGUGAGUGAAAUUGUAGGAAGUAACUUAGAAGAAAAACAAAUUAAGAAACUUCACUAGAACAGCAAAAAAAUAGCAAAACACUGGACCCUAACUACAACUGAGCAAAACAUAUCCUGAUUGCAUUUGAAAUUGUGGCUACAGUUUAGUCCUGCAAAUAUUUACAUACAUGUUCAGUUUAAUGCAUAUGAGGAUUCUUGAAACAAGCAGUAAGUCUGAAGAGACAGCAGACUACAAGUUAGGUUAUGGCAUGGGGAACUGAACAAAAUUUCUAGUGUGAAUAUAUUUCCUGUGGAUGUAUUUUCCAUGGUGCUGAAUGCAGGAGUAAAAUUGCAGGUGUCUGGAUUUUAUUAGUUUAUGCAGUAAAAGAAGUGCAGAAACAUUUUUGGGGAGAGGAGGGUUCAUAGGAAGGUUUUGGGUCUGGAAUCUUGUUUGGUUAGUGAAGAUAAUUUCAUUAACACAAUCAACCUAUUCAACCCUAUAAUUUCACACUAUCCAUUUUUUGCUGGCAUUACAGAGCUGUUGACUCUUUCCUACAGUUAGAAAAGAAAAACUGCAUUAGUACCUAAGGCAGAUCUGGAAAGAUGCCAUGGACCUGGGAUGAGAAGAUGCGUAUGACAGUUACAGAUCUAGCAAGGGCUGUUUUUUUGCAGGAAGUUUAUUACAUGCAGCUACACAUCCCAUGUCCACUAAGGUCACUAUUUUGAGAUUUUGUUUUAAGUGGAUUUGGCUUUUUGGGCUCUUUUCUGCUCCGUGGAAUAAGUAAGAGGCUGGCAACUGUCCUUGUUUAUCAGAAUUGGUGGUGGUGUUGCCGUGUGGUUGCCUGCGAUAGAAACUGGAUUAGUAAGUGACAAAGAUGCCUCUUUGAAUCCCAUGUCCUAGAAUGUGCUCCUGGGAGCGCUGGGGACUGCAGCCUUCCCCACUGAAACAGCCUCCCCUCUGUUCUGCAGUUGGGAACCAAAGGAGCCACCUUAAAGGAUGAGAGAGUACCUCAGCUUCCAAACUGGCUCAAUCUUUGUCUUCCCAUGCUGUUUGCAUCGAUGCUAAUCAAUGUUAAUUAUGGUAGUGGGGCUUGUGAUGUACUCAUUAUAAAAACCAUCCUAUUUUUCUGUGCUUGUACAGUCUGUCACACAAUAGAGCCCUGAUUGGGGUUCCCUAGAUGCUACAAAUAGUAAUACAAUUUGUUAUAAUAAUGAAUAUGUGGUUCAUGGUGUAAGACUACCAAGCUCAGUUCAUGGAGCUUGGAAGCAUCACUUGAUAAUUCUGUUUGCUGUUACCACUGCCUGUGGCAUUCUGGAUAUGUCUUGACAGUUGGGGCCUCAGCAGUAAAGCAGUAAAGCUUUUGUUUGUAUUUCAAUAGGUGCUUCUUUUUAAAUUUGCAUCUGAGUCUCUGGGGUUUCAAGCAUAAAUAUAUGCUUGAAGUUAACUGUGCUUAAAAACUCUUCUGAUUCAGCAUCCUCACUGUGCUGGGUUCAUGAUCCCACCACCACUCCAUUACUAUACUGGGAGCUGGUAGGUGCUGAAGGAUGGGGAGCCAGGGUGUUUCUUUCCUAGGCUGAGGUUUAGACGUGCAAGAGUGGGAAGGUGCUUCCUCCCAGGUGCUGAGCAGCUGCUGGGUGUAGUUUGUAGCAAGGAUUCCCAGCUGCUGCAGGGGCUGGAAGUGGGUAGAAGCCCAGAGCUGGGAGCUGAUGCUUUCCUUCCUCCCGAGGCUGCGACCCCCUUUUGGUGUCUGGGCCCCCUUGAGCCCCCCCCUAAGAGCUGAUGCCUGAGAGGUGCAGUCUCCUGUGAUGAAUUUGGUUCAGUCCUACUGUUACCCUCACUGGAAAUUUCAGUACCAUUGUUUAUAUUAAUUAAUUUGUAUAAAUACAAUUAAUCCCCUCACUCUGCACCCCCAGGCCUUAACCUUUGUGAGUUUUGGUGACUUAUAUAGACUCUUUUUUCUUUUUUUUUUUUUUUUCCAGAGCAAGUUUUCCACAAUGUUAUUGCUUGUUACCUGGUUUGUUAUGGAUAUUGGUUCUAGUCCCAUAUUUUGAAUUCCCACCAGACUGCAUGAUUGAAUUCUAGUUACCUAUGUGCAGUUCAGGUGUGUAAUUAUCUGCCUGACUCUAGUUUUCUGCUGGAGUGCUGACCAAGCCUGUGUACAAAAAUAUUUUAAAUUGUUGUUACAUUGUCUCUUGAGUGUGCAUGUUGAUUUAAGAGGAAUUCAAGUCAGUGUAGAGCUGCUUCUCUGUUUGUAAUUAAUUUAAAAUAUUUAUUAUAGCAGCUAGAUUUUUCCUGUUAA